RNAcentral lists this ribosomal RNA (547 nucleotides) under uncultured Pseudomonadota bacterium. Its description in RNAcentral is "bacterial SSU rRNA". It matches the Rfam family "Bacterial small subunit ribosomal RNA", at positions 829 to 1377 of the family's 1533-position model. The record is from RNAcentral. Lineage: Bacteria; Pseudomonadati; Pseudomonadota.
ACUUGAGUCCUUGGUGGCGCAGUUAACGCGAUAAGUAGACCGCCUGGGGAGUACGGCCGCAAGGUUAAAACUCAAAUGAAUUGACGGGGGCCGCACAAGCGGUGGAGCAUGUGGUUUAAUUCGAUGCAACGCGAAGAACCUUACCAGGCCUUGACAUCCUUGGAAUCCUGCAGAGAUGCGGGAGUGCCUUCGGGAAUCAAGUGACAGGUGCUGCAUGGCUGUCGUCAGCUCGUGUCGUGAGAUGUUGGGUUAAGUCCCGUAACGAGCGCAACCCUUGUCCUUAGUUGCCAGCACGUAAUGGUGGGAACUCUAAGGAGACUGACGGUGACAAACCGUAGGAAGGUGGGGACGACGUCAAGUCAUCAUGGCCCUUACGGCCUGGGCUACACACGUGCUACAAUGGAACGCACAGAGGGCAGCAAACCCGCGAGGGGGAGCGAAUCCCACAAAACGUUUCGUAGUCCGGAUCGGAGUCUGCAACUCGACUCCGUGAAGUCGGAAUCGCUAGUAAUCGUGAAUCAGAAUGUCACGGUGAAUACGUUCUCGC